CCCUCUCUUUCGUAAUCGUCUCGAGAAAGUCAGAAUAUAUAUAUAUAUAUUACUCUUCAUUUCUUAGGACUUUGAAAGAAGAAAAAAAAACUGUCAAUCAGUAAUCGAAAAUUCUUCGUAAAUUCGAUAAUAAAAAUGAGCAUACGAAUGAUAAAAGUAAAUAGUUAGUUUCUUUUAUGUAUAUAUUCUUUACGUAUAUGAGACGUAAAAAUCUAAUAUUCUGAUUUAAAUGAUACACCCUAUAUAUAUGUGGAUGCGUGCGUGCGUAUGUACGUACGUAUGUAUGCAUGAUUUUUUAUUUUCUUGUGUAAACGAACGAUUCAAUAGACAAAUAUCUUAUAUACAUAAAUUAACCAUUUUAUAUAUAAAAUUGUAGGUAUUAUCGAAAGAAAAGAUCGCAAAUGGUCGAUAACGAGUCAGGCAUAUAAAACACGUUUCAGUUUGUUCCGUUUGAAAAUAAUAGAUACAUACAUACAUACGUAACGUCAAUCGUUAAGCUCAUAACGAAAGUGAAAAGAAGCCGUAUAUGUGUUUGUAUACGUGUUUCAUCGAGUCAAUGGUGUCGGUCGUGCAUGUUUGACGUUACGUUAAGAGACAUCAGAUACAUAUAUAUAUAUAUAUAUUUAUUACAAUUAUAUUUGUAUAUAUAUAUAUAUAUUUACAUACAUAAUAUCUCGGAUAUAAAAAUAAAUAUAUAUUAGAUUAAAAUUAAGAUAAAUGGCCAAAGAAACAAACUUUUCUCUCUUUCUUUCCCUCUAUAUAACCCUCUCCCUCUCUCUCUCUCUCUCUCUACCUUAUCACGUCGGUCUUGUAGCAGACGACGGUACGUCUAUCGAGCCCUUGGCCAAUGGAGAAGGUGCGCAGGAAAUCGGCAAAACGAUCCUGCACGAGUCGAUGUAUGAGAUAUCGUCGAUAGUUGUUUACAGGAGGAAACACGAGGACCCUGUAAAAGCGAAAGGAUCGAUCGGUGUACUCUCUUUGAUCGCGGAUCGUGGAAAGCGCAAGAGCUCGGAAUUUUAAGUUGACCACCGACCUGCACGAUAUGAUGGACCGAGGAACUCGUAGAAGAAGAGGAGGAGAAAAAAAGGAAGAGAAGGAGAAGGAGAAUAGAAGAAAGAGAAUGAGGGAAGAAGAGGGAGAGGAAGUUAACUCACGUUUUACAUUCACGUCGUACUCCACAUCUUCGGUGAAGAGGCUACCUUGCAGGCUCAUUUAUCAAAACGAUGACGGAGUCGCUUCAACGACGGUACAUCAACGACGACGACGCACGAAACGAUACCGAGAUUUUCUUUUAUCGCGUCGAAAGUACAUCGAGAAACGUCCAACUCGCGUAAGCGAUCUUCGUACACAUUUAUCUUCUACCACUCGUUUUCAAUCGGUGGCGGCGGCGGUAGCAGCGGCGGCUAGACUCGUGCAGAAAAAGUACAAAGGUUUUUCUAUUCUUUUUUAGUUACGUAUGUACGCCGUUGUUGACGGGAGCGCUUAUAUCGUUAUCGACGGUCGCGCGCUCUGUCGGCAAAGUUUCGCGUCUUGAAAACGAAAUGAGACUAGCAGCGCCAUUCGGUAGAAGCGACGGCAGACGAUUAUAAUUCUAUUUAUAAACUUUGUCUUUUGGAUGUUUACUAUUGAAAUCUUUGAUCGCUGAUUGGUUCAUUCGACGGUUCGUCUAAAUCGAGCUGCGAUUGGCUCCUGACGACACAAUGUAUUUUUUCGGCGGUAUUUUUUUUUAUAGAAAAUUUUUAAAUGUCUACUUUUUUUUUUUUUUUUUUUUUUU
Vespula vulgaris is the source of this 1774-nucleotide long non-coding RNA. RefSeq lists it as uncharacterized. The transcript is spliced from 4 exons. The record is from RefSeq and is a predicted model, not a curated record. Lineage: Eukaryota; Metazoa; Arthropoda; Insecta; Hymenoptera; Vespidae.